This 228-nucleotide long non-coding RNA is filed under the name Medicago truncatula (barrel medic). RNAcentral's name for it is "long non-coding RNA (MTRU_LNC003415)". Lineage: Eukaryota; Viridiplantae; Streptophyta; Magnoliopsida; Fabales; Fabaceae. The record is from RNAcentral.
UAGGGUUCAAUGAUAAAGUAGUUGAUUUUAUUGAACAUCGAUGUAAAACUAGUUUAUACCGACGAUAUAUAUUCGAUGAGUACAAAUUUUUAUUUAUAAGUUUUUAUGAAACAAAAGUCAAAGAAAGAUUAAACUUGAACGGAAGAAAUGCUAUUGGAGGUGCAUGGUAACCGACCUAUAAAACUUUUCUCCUCCUAUGAAAGUUAGUGGUCAUAAUAUAUAUCCUAU